Molecule: ribosomal RNA, 465 nt
Filed under: uncultured bacterium
Lineage: Bacteria
Description: partial 16S ribosomal RNA
Rfam family: Bacterial small subunit ribosomal RNA
Source: RNAcentral
GACGAACGCUGGCGGCGUGCUUAACACAUGCAAGUCGAACGGAAAGGCCCCUUUGGGGGUGCUCGAGUGGCGAACGGGUGAGUAACACGUGAGUAACCUGCCCCUGACUUCGGGAGAACUUCCUGAAACUGGGGCUAAUACCGGAGAGGGAUGCUUGCUUCAGGGUGGGGGUUGGAAAGCUUCGUCGGUUUUGGAUGGACUCGCGGCCUAUCAGCUUGUUGGUGGGGUAAUGGCUUACCAAGGCUUUGACGGGUAGCCGGCCUGAGAGGGCGACCGGCCACAUUGGGACUGAGAUACGGCCCAGACUCCUACGGGAGGCAGCAGUGGGGAAUAUUGCACAAUGGGCGGAAGCCUGAUGCAGCAACGCCGCGUGCGGGAUGACGGCCUUCGGGUUGUAAACCGCUUUCAGCAGGGGCGAAGCUUGUGGUGACGGUACCUGCAGAAGAAGCACCGGCUAACUACGUG